RNAcentral lists this long non-coding RNA (235 nucleotides) under Pongo abelii (Sumatran orangutan). RNAcentral's name for it is "lincRNA". Lineage: Eukaryota; Metazoa; Chordata; Mammalia; Primates; Hominidae. The record is from RNAcentral.
CUGUUUUAAGCCCCGUUCUCUUGCAGCUCUUCGGUACUGCAAACUUAACCGCUAAUGGCGCUGUGGGUGGAGAAACGUUUGUUAGGCUUGUUACAUCAUGGUUGCAGGAUGGCUGCUACAGCUCUGGACAUCACAUCAAAAUAUGGCAGAAGCUAAAGCAGGAAGACAGAGAAGGAGGCAAGACAGCUUUAUUCACUUGUGGCUCUCAUAUGAAGAAUAAAGAUAUUUCUCGAAA